This 763-nucleotide ribosomal RNA is filed under the name uncultured Streptococcus sp. RNAcentral describes it as "bacterial SSU rRNA". It matches the Rfam family "Bacterial small subunit ribosomal RNA", at positions 28 to 774 of the family's 1533-position model. The record is from RNAcentral. Lineage: Bacteria; Bacillati; Bacillota; Bacilli; Lactobacillales; Streptococcaceae.
GACGAACGCUGGCGGCGUGCCUAAUACAUGCAAGUAGAACGCUGAAGAGAGGAGCUUGCUCUUCUUGGAUGAGUUGCGAACGGGUGAGUAACGCGUAGGUAACCUGCCUGGUAGCGGGGGAUAACUAUUGGAAACGAUAGCUAAUACCGCAUAAUAGUAGAUGUUGCAUGACAUUUGCUUAAAAGGUGCAAUUGCAUCACUACCAGAUGGACCUGCGUUGUAUUAGCUAGUUGGUGAGGUAACGGCUCACCAAGGCGACGAUACAUAGCCGACCUGAGAGGGUGAUCGGCCACACUGGGACUGAGACACGGCCCAGACUCCUACGGGAGGCAGCAGUAGGGAAUCUUCGGCAAUGGACGGAAGUCUGACCGAGCAACGCCGCGUGAGUGAAGAAGGUUUUCGGAUCGUAAAGCUCUGUUGUAAGAGAAGAACGAGUGUGAGAGUGGAAAGUUCACACUGUGACGGUAUCUUACCAGAAAGGGACGGCUAACUACGUGCCAGCAGCCGCGGUAAUACGUAGGUCCCGAGCGUUGUCCGGAUUUAUUGGGCGUAAAGCGAGCGCAGGCGGUUAGAUAAGUCUGAAGUUAAAGGCUGUGGCUUAACCAUAGUACGCUUUGGAAACUGUUUAACUUGAGUGCAAGAGGGGAGAGUGGAAUUCCAUGUGUAGCGGUGAAAUGCGUAGAUAUAUGGAGGAACACCGGUGGCGAAAGCGGCUCUCUGGCUUGUAACUGACGCUGAGGCUCGAAAGCGUGGGGAGCAAACA